This 516-nucleotide long non-coding RNA is filed under the name Rosa chinensis. RNAcentral describes it as "sRNA RchiOBHm_Chr5g0061401". The record is from RNAcentral. Lineage: Eukaryota; Viridiplantae; Streptophyta; Magnoliopsida; Rosales; Rosaceae.
CCAUUACUGUGUCUGAGAGUGACGCAGCUUGGCUGCCAGAAAAGUUUCUCAAUCAGAAGCUAGUUUACUUGGAUCAAGAAGCUUCCAACAGCCAAGAAGAGGAUAUGAAAAGCUGGUGAUGUGGAGAUAUUAGCUGUCACCGAUGUCGUAUGGACUGAAUGACAGCCGGUGCAAUCAAUUCCUUGGAAGAAGUUGGAGACAUAUCCUUACCAACUCAACAGAACCUUUAGGAGUAAUGGUCUCUUGAAGUCUCGAGGAGUGUUCCCAGAAGCACGUUGGCACUGGAUUGCUCUUGGUAAGCCUCAUGCAGUACUUUCCAAAGAGGCCUUGGCAAAGAAACAAGCCACCGAAACUGGAGAGGUCUUUGAAUUAUUGUCAACAGGAAAGAGCUAUAUUGGUGUAGCUAAUGAAAGAAUAGAUAUUGUGUUAGUCGAUCUUACUAAUUAGCGAGGAAUGGUUCUUCUUUUUAAACCCCUCUCAGUUACAUCUGAUAAAAUCAUAUAUGCAGUUGACAUG